Molecule: ribosomal RNA, 791 nt
Filed under: uncultured bacterium
Lineage: Bacteria
Description: bacterial SSU rRNA
Rfam family: Bacterial small subunit ribosomal RNA
Source: RNAcentral
AAACGGCGUUGCUUUACCUGCAAGUCGAGCGAGGCGGCCCGCAAGGGUCAGUCGAGCGGCGAACGGGUGAGUAACACGUGGAUUAUCUGCCCAGAGGUGGGGGAUAACCCGGGGAAACUCGGGCUAAUACCGCAUAUGACCGUGAGGUCAAAGGGGGGGUCGCAAGAUCUCUCGCCAUUGGAGGAGUCCGCGUCCGAUUAGCUAGUUGGUAGGGUAAUGGCCUACCAAGGCGACGAUCGGUAGCCGGCCUGAGAGGGUGAUCGGCCACACUGGAACUGAGACACGGUCCAGACUCCUACGGGAGGCAGCAGCGGGGAAUUUUGCGCAAUGGGCUAACGCCUGACGCAGCAACGCCGCGUGGAGGAUGAAGGUCUUUGGAUUGUAAACUCCUGUCAGCAGGGAAAAAGCAACCUAACCUCAUACGUUAGGAAGUUGAUUGUACCUGCAGAGGAAGCCCCGGCUAACUCUGUGCCAGCAGCCGCGGUAAUACAGAGGGGGCAAGCGUUACUCGGAAUUAUUGGGCGUAAAGGGCGCGUAGGCGGCUUGGCAAGUGGAUGGUGAAAUCCCUCGGCUUAACCGAGGAACUGCCAUCCAGACUGCUUUGCUUGAGGCCGGGAGAGGUGAGUGGAAUUCCCAGUGUAGCGGUGAAAUGCGUAGAUAUUGGGAGGAACACCAGUGGCGAAGGCGGCUCACUGGACCGGUUCUGACGCUGAUGCGCGAAAGCGUGGGGAGCAAACGGGAUUAGAUACCCCGGUAGUCCACGCCGUAAACGAUGAGUGCUUGGGUGUAGC